GUUCUUUUUUACGUUUCUGAACAAAUAAAUCUACUUCAAUGUAUAGAAAGGCUUUAGAAUACUAUUGGCGAUGCUAAGACAUAGCUUGUACUGUAAUGUGCAGUCUGUUUUGUUAAAGGUACAGUAAUGUACUUAGUAACUAAAUAUGCAGACACCUCCCUGCACAUGAGAAGAGUAGGAUAAAAUUCAGUGACAGGGAACUAAAGGAACUGUUAUGCUGAGCUGUGCCGUUCAGAUGCUUCAGUCAGUUUUUCUGUUCUCAUGAGAACAGCUGAUUUGGCAAUACAAGGGCAAAGAAUACCAAAAUGGCUAGAAGACCAGGCAUUGGCAGUUCCAUUGGUGAUAUAGUAGGAAUGAGGAUCUAUGUAGGAAUGAUGAGAUUUUAAAGUGCUUGUAAUACAGUUCAUGGGCAGCACUUAGCUGGUCAUGGCUGUCUGCUAGUGACCUCACAGUAGCAAUUUAACACAUGGCCCUUUGCUUAUGUCUAUUUCAGAGGCUCUUUGAAGUCAGGCAGUUAUACCACAACUAUCAUUUUUUGAUGUUUUGUUUCUGAAUGGAUGUAGUUAAACACAGAUCACAUUUAGACUCUUCUGCAAUGUUCUGUAGCACGCAUCCCAAGCCAAUAUUCUAUAAAUCAAUGGCAUUUCAAGUUUUUACUACUUCAUACAAAGUCAAUCUUCACUCAGUCUUUCCCAUUCUUUUAAAUCCUCUCAUUCACUCUUUCAUUGAUUGCUCUACCUUACAGACAGAUGAAAGUUGACUUUAAGAUUUUAUGAGGUAAUUUGAUCUUCAUUUUUUACUUUAUUUUAUAAUCCCAUUCACCUUGGCUUAUACCCACUCUUUCUGCUGUAUAUUGAAAAUUGUGAGCCCUUGAUGCUAACAGUUAAUGAUUCAUUCUAGAGCAAGGUGCAAAAUGCUCUUGUUUUGGUUUUGUUGGUGGUAGAUAUGGUUGACUAGUUAGCAUGUUGGUUAGUAAAUUGGUAAUUUUGUGGGUUUUUUUUUCCUCUGUUUAAAAACUUUCAACCUCACACUUCAUAGAUAUAUAUAGUUUCUCUUUAUAUACCAAAACUAUUUUCUGUGUGAUAUGUAAAACAGAGUUAAAGCUCAACCAAGGCCUCAAAGCCUAUUUAUCACAAAGCAGAACUCUUUCUGCCUAAUCAUUAGAGUGUUCUGAGUGACGCCUGACCAAGAGAUCAAAUUAGCUAAGCCUUGAUUCUCGGACAUUCCCAAGUGUUCCUACAAAACCUUGUAUAGUCUCUUCUUUUCUAUGCCUAAUAAGAGAUUCAUGUUUAAUACAGAAAACAUCUGGCUCAGGUCCUCAGGUUUUGGUAGGAAGAUCUCCACGAAACUGAUAAACAUAUGAGACAAACAGUGCCAGGGCUGUGCACAGCGAAGGUCCCAGAAGCUUCCUCACCAAAUAUUUUUUUGAGAGCAGAGGUAUCUCCUGGAUAUUUAACUUUCUUAAAUGUAAAUGUGGGUACGCAGCUUAUUCUUCUCUAAUAGAUGUUUUAGGGUAUGUACAUGGAGAGUCAAGUUUGCUGCAAACUCCUGGUUCAAAUAUUACCUGGAACUUCAUAAAACCUUAUCAGUAUUCUUCACAUAGGAAAAACAUUACCCGCAAUAGGAAUAAAUUUGGAACAUAUUCUAACCAAAGCCAAAGCAUAGUUAAGCAUUUUAAUAAUGCUAAAUUUGAGAUGUUGUACAGAUGAGAUAUUUUCCAUACAAAUAAAGAACAAAGUGUAUAAAACCCCAGGACUUGCGCUGAGUUAGAAGCACAAUGCAGCUGUCAUUUUUGCAUUUCCUGCUUUUCAUGAAACAUUACUAGUGAUCCUCUGUCAUUUAAAUCAGCUGAGACUGUGGAUUUAUCUUAAUUUUCACCCUUUGUUUCCCCUUUUUGUGAUAGCAGUUAUGAGAUAUGAUGAUGUAAAGUGUUUCUGCUUAUAAAGGGUUCAGCCCUGUCCCUUGGCAGACUAAAUCUUCUGGCUAAUUCACUGAUCAGUUAAAUAGUCGAAGUUAUUAUUAUUAUAAUUAUUAUUUUACAUUUAUAUAGCACUUUUCUCCAAGGGUUUUAAGGCAUUUUACACACAGCAAAUUACCAAAUAGAAAUUAAUCCUUAUAUCAUCCUGAGGGGUAGGUACACUCACAUUAAUGAAAUUCUACAAAAGUCCCCUUGUGUCACAGCUCUACCCCAAUGCCCAGUGAACCUGCCCUUCCUUUACAAAAAUAAAAUAGAAUGCCCAUGGCAUUUCAGGGAAAGACUAACAGGAGAUCGUUGGGAAAACAGUCCUGUGUCCUGACUUUGGCAUUCUGAGCUUCCUGGACAAUAAACUAUUGGGAGCAACCAGACAUGUAGGGGUAUUGACAGAGGUCACCCACCUAGGUAGUUUCAUUUAAUUCUUCAAAGAACAAGUUAGGAUGUGAUCUUAAAAGUAUUUGAUUACAUACAAACCACAUGGGAGAACAUUUAAAAUGAGAUCCCAAGACUUUCUCACUCACAGAGAUUCCCAUUUAAUUGCUACAGAAAGAGCAAAGAGCGGUGAUUUUUGAAGCCAGUGGUACUUUGAGAAAUGUGUCAUGACUCAGGAAGAAAUGUUACUACCUAAUGUAUAUAUCAGAAAAUGAUGGCUUAAGUAAGUAACAUGUCACAAUAUUUGGCAGAGUCAAGACUAGAUGCCAAUUUGGCAAAUUCCCAAAUCUGUACUUUUUAUUAUUGUAAUACUUACAGUACUUCCAGGAAAGGGUAAGUUUAGAAACAAGUGUAACGAGGAGUUGUAGUCUAUGAACUGGCAUAGACUGGCUCUUGCGAACCUCAGAUUCAUUUGGAAGCCGAGGCCUGGAGCACCAUCAGCUGUCCUGCAGAGCUGACCUGCACUUUGCCAUGUGCUUCUUUGUCUCAGGGCUAUCUUGAACCCUCAAAGCAGCUGCUCCAUCAGCUGACUACAACUCAGGAAGGACCCAAAAAUUACAGAAUGUUGAAUCAUUUACCCUGUCCAGGGAGUGUAUCAUCUGCUUAAUAGGUGUCACCAGGAAAAAUUUUUAAUAAAACUCUUGUUAUGAGAUCAGAUUGGCUUUACUUGUUUUGUAGGCAGACUUACUCUGAGAAGGGGGAGAGGAUAUAAAGAUUUCCACUAUUAUUUAAUAUUCAAUUUAGGACAAUUUCAUUUUUUAAUUUCUUGACUUAAUUUUUAUUAUUUUUUCCUUCAAAGACUGGAGCAAGCUAUGGUAAGAGGAAGUACACUCAGACAGUAGAUCCAGUGUUCUACUUGCCCAGAAGUUUCUGCAUUCCAUAGUGGAGUUUAGAGAUGCUUAUGGAAUGAAGUUAGACUUUUCAGAAAUGAGAAACACCGAGAGUGUGAUAAGGAGUCUCACAGUCCAUAUAAACUUGCUUAAAUUCUUUUCAUUGGGUACUAAAGUCAAUCGGAUUGACAGGAUUUGUUUUUUAGUCAAAAGCAUGUAUCACUUAGCUAUGGAUAAUAAUUAUUGUCGUCCUCGUGAAUUUUUUUUAGUCUCACUAACAUACCGUCUAUUCCUGGAAGUUGGUUUCUGCAUCUAAAAUUCUCUUCUCUGUUGGUGUAUAUGGAUAUGUUCAUGUUUGUGUGCACCAGUGUGCCAGUGUGUGUUCAUGCAUAUGAAGAACAGGGGUCCCCAUCUUGUGUCAUAGCUUCUGUAGUAGUCAGAGUUCUCUAGAGUCACAGAACUUAUGGGUAGGUAGUAUCUAUAUAGUAAAGGAAUUUGUUGUUGACUUACAGUCUGCAGUCCAACUUCCAACAAUGGUAGGCACCUGCUGUGAAUGCAAGUCCAAGGAUCUAGCAGUUGCUCAGUCCAUACAGCAAGCAGUCGAGGAGAGAGAGAAUCUUCCUUCUUCCAAAGUCCUUAUGUAGGUCUCCAGCAGAAGGUGUAGCCCAGAUUAAAGGUCUGUACCACCAGACCUUUAAUCCCAGGUGACCUUGAUCUCAGAGAUCUCCCUGUCUUAAUCUUCUAGAAUUCAUAGCCACUAUGCCUCAAGAUCUCCAUACCAAGAUCCAGGUCAGAAACUUGUAUCUCCCAGCCUCUAGAUUAGGGUCACUGGUGAGCCUUCCAAUUCUGGAUUGUAGUUCAUUCCCUAUAUAGUCAAGUUGACAACCAGGAAUAGCCACUACAGCUUCCAAGGCAGGCACUCCUGUCUCCACCUUCCUAGAACUAGGGUUACAGACCCGUUUGUCUUUUUUAAAGAAAUAAAGUAAAAUAAAACAUGAGCACUUGAGAUGUGAACUAAGUCCUCAGGGUUGCACUGUGCAGUCCUUAACCUGCAAAAAAUAUAGUCCUAGAACCCUUCUUUUUAAAUACUGUGGCUAUACUCAGUCACUGAAAGAACAAACUUUAUUUAGACUUUCAUAACCCAGGCAGUGUAGCAAAGUAGCAUUUCUUUAUUGGCAGAAGCAGGUAACCGUAGCAAAUGAAGAUGUAUUCAGAGACGGUAAACCGCACGCUCCUUAGGACAGUGCAGUUUGUUCCUUGGCUUUUCAGGCUUGCUCUCUUCAAUAUCAGUUUAUUGUCCAGCGUGGAUCGAGAUUUCUCUGUAACUAUAUAGACUACCGCUUUAAGAAAACAGCAUAAAAACUCUGAUUACGAAAUUAAGCACAGAGCUUUGGAAUAAGCCAGGCAAGUGAAGGGCCCUGGAGUUUAAUCCCUUAAAUUCACAGUCAAUCUACCUCUGAAUAUCCCCAUUUUGGGCUUUACAAAGGUACUCUUAGUAAAUAUUACUGUUUCAUAUAAUAACAAGAUUAGUUAAGGAUAAUGUCCUACUUUAUGUGUGUAGUCUUUAGGCUAAAAAUAACAAAACACUGUAAAAAUAAUGUGAACCUACUUACCAACAAUUUAGCGGAUUCCAUGUAGUAUUCAUCUUUGUUUAUUCAGGCUAACUCCAGCAUAAUAACGGUCAAUAAAUACCAUUAGAGGAGACAGCUCUUUAUGGAGCCUGGUAUUUUGAGCAGUACUUGAGACAAUAAAAUACAGGUCAGCAAGAAAUGUCAACAGUUCCUUUAAAUUCUUUGUAAUGGGAUUACAACUGUAUUGUAGAACUAAUAAAGAAACUAGCAUAGAUUGGGUUUGUCCCAUUGUCUUUCUCAGAGUUGUAAAAGAUAUAAGAGACACAGAUAUUUCACAGCCUUUGGCCUCUACCACCCAUUUCUACACUUAAUUAUUUCAUCUCUUCCUAUUCUAGAACAAGUUAUAAACAUUUAGAUUUUUAAAGAGAUCUUUCAAAGUGCCAUGGUACUGUUGCUGCUUUCUAAUUGUUUGUUUUUCCCGUUAGUUUUUCCUGUUAACCCUCUCCCUGUGACUUACUCUAAAAAUAAUAUUUAGUGGUGGUCUCCUGGUAGAAGACACUUAACAUUUACAAUUGAAAUGUUAAGAGAUCUAAAACUAUUUCCUGUUUCUGUGAUUUAAAAAAAAAGAAGAAGAAAUAUCAAGCCACCUUAAGAGAGAAAGGGCUCAUUUAUCAAAGCUUUAGGUUAUAGGUCAUCACUGUGGCGAAAUUAAGGCAUUAGGAACAUAUAGCAGCUAGACACAUACAGAGUUAAAAGCAGAAAGAAAAUGAAUGUAUGCAGGUUCCUGCUGUGCUAGCUUUUUUUACUUUUAUACAGUUCAGGAUCGCCUACCUAGGGAAUAGUGCCUCCCACAGUUGGCAGGUCUUCCCUCCAAAUUAAACUCAAUUAAAGUAAUCAAGAUAAUUCCUACAGACAGCCCAAAAGCCAAAUGUGGACAGACCAUCCUGACACUCUCUUCCCAAGGGAUUCUAAGUUGCAUAUAUACAUUCUCUAACCUAAUCCUCUGAUAUAGAACAUUCUAUUAAAUAUAUGGAGAAUAUAUUUUGGAGUACCAUGUAAGAAGUUUAAAUGGAAGUCAAAAUGGUAAAUAAUAUUGGCUUCUCAAAAUUACUGAGUUUUCUUUAUCUUCUUUAUUGGCUAAGCCAGUUGUUUUGUUUCUGUUUUCUCAUUUAUUGGUCUCUAUAGUGCCCACCUAAGAAGUAAUUUCUCACAGUUCUGGGUAAAAAGAAAUCUUCAGGUCAUCAAUACAGUUUAUUGCGUGAUGCAACUAACCAACAUGAAAUUCAAAAGCAGAAAAGAGAAAACCUGUGCAAGACAGCAUGUAGCCGUGAGCAAACAAUCACACUGUAGCCGUGAGCAGAUCCUCUCUGAACACUGAUUUCAGGCAGCCUCUUUUAUCAGAAAACAGGUGCUCCCUUAACAAGAAAACCCUGAAGGAAGUGAAAGGGUUACAAUUUUAGUUUUAGCAUAAUAAUUGUAAUAAUUUGUAUUUCAAGUUUUAUUUAUUUUUGUUCUUCCUUGUCUAAGUGAUCAGCAGUCUUCAAUGGUAUUAUAGUGUUGAGUUUUAUGUUUCCAGAGUAGAAAUAGCUUACUUAAAAAGUAAUUUUUUAUGCCUGUUUAGAUCCCAUGCUUUCUGUCUUGGCUGAAGAUGACUCUUGUAAGAAAUGGCCAGAGACUUGUAGCUUUAGAAUAUUCCUUCUCCCUGGGAGAGGAGUGAGAUUUGAGCAAGUGUUUGUGCUGCAUGGAGAAAAUGCUGUGCAUAUG
Molecule: long non-coding RNA, 6572 nt
Filed under: Mus musculus (house mouse)
Lineage: Eukaryota; Metazoa; Chordata; Mammalia; Rodentia; Muridae
Description: long non-coding RNA chr16:43321337-43327909
Source: RNAcentral